Molecule: ribosomal RNA, 423 nt
Filed under: uncultured bacterium
Lineage: Bacteria
Description: bacterial SSU rRNA
Rfam family: Bacterial small subunit ribosomal RNA
Source: RNAcentral
UCUUGGGCAAUGGGCGAAAGCCUGACCUAGCGACGCCGCGUGGAGGAAGAAGGCCUUCGGGUCGUAAACUCCUGUUUGGGGAGAAGAACAAGAGAGAAGUUAAUAGCUUCUCUCUCUGACGGUAUCCCCGGAGAAAGCUCCGGCUAAUUACGUGCCAGCAGCCGCGGUAAUACGUAAGGAGCGAGCGUUGUCCGGAUUUACUGGGCGUAAAGGGCUCGUAGGUGGUUUCUUAGGUCUCACGUGAAAUUCCCUGGCUCAACCAGGGAGGGUCGUGGGAAACCGAGAGGCUAGAGGGCAGGAGAGGAGAGUGGAAUUCCCGGUGUAGCGGUGAAAUGCGUAGAGAUCGGGAGGAACACCAGUGGUGAAGACGGCUCUCUGGACUGUCCCUGACACUGAGGAGCGAAAGCCAGGGGAGCAAACCGG